Long non-coding RNA from Cebus imitator (Panamanian white-faced capuchin), 186 nucleotides. RefSeq lists it as uncharacterized. NCBI's taxonomy places the organism in Eukaryota, Metazoa, Chordata, Mammalia, Primates, Cebidae. The transcript has 2 exons. The record is from RefSeq and is a predicted model, not a curated record.
UCAGCUCCUGAGUAGCUGGGACUAUAAGAGUGCCCCACCAGGCCCAGCUGAUUUUUGUUUUUUCAGUAGAGAGGGGGUUUCACCAUGUUGGCCAGGCUGGUCUAGAACUCCUGACCUCAGGUGAUCCAUCUGCCUUGGCCUCCCAAAGUGCUGGGAUUACAGGCAUGAGCCACUGUCCCCAACCUA